This 729-nucleotide long non-coding RNA is filed under the name Capsella rubella. Its description in RNAcentral is "long non-coding RNA (CRUB_LNC004249)". Lineage: Eukaryota; Viridiplantae; Streptophyta; Magnoliopsida; Brassicales; Brassicaceae. The record is from RNAcentral.
CGAUUUAUUAUUAUCUUUGUUGAAAAAAAAUGAUUUAUUAUAUUACAUCAUAAAAUACUGGUUUAUGCAUAAACCAGAAAGCUCAUCAAUUAACUUGAAUGCGAAGCUCAAGAAAGACAAAUUCCCCUAAGUUUAAGAGCAUUUUCAUCAUUCCUUAGAAACCAAUUCCCGGGUUACAAAGAAUCGGAAACUAAUGAAGAGAAAUCUAAUAAAAAUUUUUAACAGAAACCCAAACCUUAAGACUGAGGGUGAGGGAGUACUUCGAGCUUGUGAGCAAUGUAUCGAAACGAAGUCGAGAUUGAGGCCAUGACUGCAACGGACUAAGAGAAUUUUGUUUCCAAUAGAAAAGCUAAUAGAUUUGAUGAUGGCUUCUCCGCCGCCAUGUCGUUCUUCUCCACCUCGUCGCUGCCACGGUCAUUUAGAUCCAGAAUCAAGCUCACUCAUAGCCAUAAUCAGUCUCGAUAUAAGCUCCAGAAUCUGAAUCGGAGGGAAGCGUUGAUGGUUUUGCUUGGAACAAUGACUGUGAUACGGGAAGAGGAAGAAGCUUUGACGUGAAGGUUGGGUUCAUCUUCUGCUUGCUCCAGCCUGUCUCAAUUUCAUCGAAAAUAUGGCAUAGGGUUUGGGAAUAGAGAGAGACAACAGAGAGAGAUAGAGAGGAAUUUGGGAAGAAGGAGAAGCAAUAGGGUUUGUGUUUGACGACAGAUUCAGUUUGUAGAUUUUGGAUUUUUU